UAGGAUAUAAUUGGGAUCAAAAGGAACCUUUGUUGGAUUCUUUUCUUGAUACAGACGGUGAAAUCCUGAAUAGUGAUGCAGAAGAGGCAUGAAAUGUCAACAACAGUUUGUAUCCUAUAUUUGGAAUGAAGCAAGAACAUGCAUGCAGGAGGCAGAUUUUGACAGAAUUGAGUGUUCACCAGUUAGGGAAAAAAAAAGAGGAAGAAUUGACUUGCACAGGACUCAUGUUUUCUCCUCUGCUCUCCUCACCACUUCUCCAACUCACUUGCUCCCUGCUGCUGGAAGAUUCUGCUUGUUAGUCACAGAGACUUUCCCAAAGUCAAGGCCCAUCUGUAUGAUCUGUGCAUUGCACAAACAAAUGGUGAGAGUUAUCAUUAAAAAUUUUGUAAUUUAUACAAACAAGAACAGCUGGUGAGGAAUUGGAACCACAUCUAAACAUAAUAUAUAGGAAGAGUUACCAAUAAAGCCUUGAUCUCUCCAUUUACA
Molecule: long non-coding RNA, 486 nt
Filed under: Cyanistes caeruleus (blue tit)
Lineage: Eukaryota; Metazoa; Chordata; Aves; Passeriformes; Paridae
Description: lncRNA (ENSCCEG00000014899.1)
Source: RNAcentral